This 441-nucleotide ribosomal RNA is filed under the name uncultured bacterium. RNAcentral's name for it is "partial 16S ribosomal RNA". It matches the Rfam family "Bacterial small subunit ribosomal RNA", at positions 338 to 795 of the family's 1533-position model. The record is from RNAcentral.
CCUACGGGUGGCAGCAGUGGGGAAUAUUGCACAAUGGGGGAAACCCUGAUGCAGCAACGCCGCGUGAAGGAAGACGGCUUUCGGAGUGUAAACUUCUGUUCUUAGUGAAGAAUAAUGACGGUAGCUAAGGAGAAAGCCACUGCUAACUACGUGCCAGCAGCCGCGGUAAUACGAAGGAGGCAAGCGUUUUCCGGAAUUACUGGGUGUAAAGGGAGCGCAGGCGGGAAGCCAAGUCAGCUGUGAAAACUACGGGCGUAACUUGUAGACUGCAGUUGAAACUGGUGUUCUUGAGUGAAGUAGAGGUUGGCGGAAUGCCUGGUGUAGCGGUGAAAUGCGUAGAUAUUCGGAAGAACACCGAUGGCGAAGGCGGCCAACUAAGCUUUAACUGACGCUGAUGCUCGAAAGUGUGGGGAGCAAACAGGAUUAGAUACCCGGGUAGUC